Molecule: small RNA, 676 nt
Filed under: Arabidopsis thaliana (thale cress)
Lineage: Eukaryota; Viridiplantae; Streptophyta; Magnoliopsida; Brassicales; Brassicaceae
Description: ATSL171370
Source: RNAcentral
CAUCUUCAUCUGAGCUAUCUGAAAUCAUAUUUCGGCCAAUUUGAAUCUCAUCUGCAAAACUAGCUACUCCAUCCCCUACUUCAUAGUCAAAACACUCUAAUGGAUCUUAUACCUCUCUUUUUUUCUAAGCUGUCUUCUUAGAUGGAUUCUUAGAUUUUUUCUCUUUCUUCCUUCUUCCACUUUCCUCAAUCUCCUCUUCACUUUCAGAUUCUUCUUCAACCUCAAUUAACGAUACGAUUGAUAUAACCCUGUUUUUCCUGAUUUUAACUACGUUUUAGAUUUAGGAUUUUGAGUCUUUAUGUUAUUUCUCGAGUCUUUUUAGAGUCUUUUCAGGUAUUCUAUGCAGUGGGACAACAAUGGUGAUGAGGAGACAUUUUGGAGCAAAAGCUAAGGAGAAGGAAGCUAAGGACGAUUUCAGUUCCAGAUUCAGUGAGAGUGUCGAUCGACACAAAGGAGUGUGUUUUAUAGGGCAUAUAUAGUUUUAGUCCCUGAACGUUUUAUAGGGCAUAUAUAUAGUUUUAGAGGUCAUUGUUUAGACCAAAUUUCUUUUCUACCAAGUUUUCAGAGAGACAUAAGCUAUUCAUCCAUAUUUUCAUAGAUUCAUUUAGUUUCCAAUACAGUGAAGAGAUCCUUUCAUACUAUAAUCUUAUUUGCUGUGUUUAUACUUUCUUACUCA